This 468-nucleotide ribosomal RNA is filed under the name uncultured bacterium. Its description in RNAcentral is "partial 16S ribosomal RNA". It matches the Rfam family "Bacterial small subunit ribosomal RNA", at positions 28 to 507 of the family's 1533-position model. The record is from RNAcentral.
GACGAACGCUGGCGGCGUGCUUAACACAUGCAAGUCGAACGGAAAGGCCCUGCUUUUGUGGGGUGCUCGAGUGGCGAACGGGUGAGUAACACGUGAGUAACCUGCCCUUGACUUUGGGAUAACUUCAGGAAACUGGGUCUAAUACCGGAUAGGAGCUCCUGCUGCAUGGUGGUGGUUGGAAAGUUUCGGCGGUUGGGGAUGGACUCGCGGCUUAUCAGCUGGAUGGUCGGGUAGUGGCUUACCAAGGGUUUGACGGGUAGGCGGCCUGAGAGGGUGACCGGGCACAUGAGGACUGAGAUGCGGAGCAGAAUCGUACGGGAGGCAGCAGUGGGGAAUAUUGCACAAUGGGCGGAAGCCUGAUGCAGCAACGCCGCGUGCGGGAUGACGGCCUUCGGGUUGUAAACCGCUUUCGACGGUGACGAAGCGUGAGUGACGGUAACGGGUAAAGAAGCACCGGCUAACUACGUG